AAUCCAGUGUUGCCAACUCCUCAGUAAGGAAAGUAGCUAUUGGCUGUCCUAAAAGUCAAUAGAAGUCGCUAAAUGGCGUCAUCGCCUAAUUUGCAUAAUUGGACAUGUGCAUGUAAUUGUGAUGGAUGCUGUAAGAGAGAGGAAUGACGUCGUGGGAGACAAAAUCGCGUCAAAUUAGCACCCGGCAGAUUCCUGCUACAAAGAACCAGGCAACCGAAAAAGCCUGGAGACAGGCUGAUUGGUGCUGCGAGCCCUACACAGUAUGGUGUCUCGAGCAUGGCUGUAUGUGGGCUCUGGGUCUACCGAACGAACGCCUCUGCCAGUCUGUCUGGAUGUAAACUGUAUUUAAUGGUGUAUGAACAUCAAAGCGAUGGGGGUGGCAUUCAAAAUAAACACAUUUCAUUUAAUGCAGUUCGAUGGAAUUUUAUGAUGAAAGUGAUGAACAUCUCUCACUUCUGGUGGAAUUGGUGUAUAUUUUUGGACAGAAUGAUGAGUAACAAUAAAC
Molecule: long non-coding RNA, 505 nt
Filed under: Salmo salar (Atlantic salmon)
Lineage: Eukaryota; Metazoa; Chordata; Actinopteri; Salmoniformes; Salmonidae
Description: lncRNA (ENSSSAG00000099382.1)
Source: RNAcentral